This 497-nucleotide ribosomal RNA is filed under the name uncultured bacterium. RNAcentral's name for it is "partial 16S ribosomal RNA". It matches the Rfam family "Bacterial small subunit ribosomal RNA", at positions 28 to 507 of the family's 1533-position model. The record is from RNAcentral.
GAUGAACGCUGGCGGCGUGCCUAAUACAUGCAAGUCGAGCGAACAGACGAGGAGCUUGCUCCUCUGACGUUAGCGGCGGACGGGUGAGUCACACGUGGAUAACCUACCUAUAAGACUGGGAUAACUUCGGGAAACCUGAGCUAAUACCGGAUAAUAUAUUGAACCGCAUGGUUCAAUAGUGAAAGACGGUUUUGCUGUCACUUAUAGCUGGCUCCGCGCCGCAUUAGCUAGUUGGUAAGGUAACGGCUUACCAAGGCAACGAUGCGUAGCCGACCUGAGAGGGUGGACGGCCACACUGGAACUGAGACACGGUCCAGACUCCUACGGUAGGCAGCAGUAGGGAAUCUUCCGCAAUGGGCGAAAGCCUGACGGAGCAACGCCGCGUGAGUGAUGAAGGUCUUCGGAUCGUAAAACUCUGUUAUUAGGGAAGAACAAAUGUGUAAGUAACUAUGCACGUCUUGACGGUACCUAAUCAGAAAGCCACGGCUAACUACGUG